GCCAGUUUGGCUCAGUGGAUAGAGCGUUGACCUGUGGACUGAAGGGUCACGGGUUCGAUUCCGGUCAAGGGCA
Non-coding RNA from Myotis brandtii (Brandt's bat), 73 nucleotides. Lineage: Eukaryota; Metazoa; Chordata; Mammalia; Chiroptera; Vespertilionidae. The record is from Rfam.